Molecule: unclassified non-coding RNA, 360 nt
Filed under: Candidatus Sulfotelmatobacter sp. SbA7
Lineage: Bacteria; Pseudomonadati; Acidobacteriota; Terriglobia; Terriglobales; Candidatus Korobacteraceae
Description: cspA
Source: RNAcentral
GGCUGUUUUGUCCACAAGCUUUGAGGGGGUUGUGAGGAAGCGUACGCUUCGCUGGGCUGGUGGAGUUCCACACAUAAAAGAGGCGAAAGGAGUUUUUUGUGAGAGAGAAGGGCACAGUCAAAUGGUUCAACGGGGCUAAAGGAUACGGAUUUAUCCAGCGCUCCACAGGGGAGGAUGUCUUCGUUCAUUUCUCCGCGAUCCAAGAGAACGGUUACCGUACGCUGAACGAGGGCGAAACCGUGGAAUUCGACCUGCUCAAGGGACCCAAAGGGUUCCAGGCGGCCAACGUCGUCCGCGCCGCAUAAGGCCUCGCUUCUUCCAAUUUUGCCAACCCUCGCAGUAACCACUGCGAGGGUUUCU